AGCUGAUCACUGGGUUUAAAGGGUGCGCAGGCGGUUUUGUAAGACAGAGGUGAAAUCCCCGGGCUCAACCUGGGAACUGCCUUUGUGACUGCAAGGCUGGAGUGCGGCAGUGGGGGAUGGAAUUCCGCGUGUAGCAGUGAAAUGCGUAGAUAUGCGGAGGAACACCGAUGGCGAAGGCAAUCCCCUGGGCCUGCACUGACGCUCAUGCACGAAAGCGUGGGGAGCAAACA
Molecule: ribosomal RNA, 230 nt
Filed under: uncultured Alicycliphilus sp.
Lineage: Bacteria; Pseudomonadati; Pseudomonadota; Betaproteobacteria; Burkholderiales; Comamonadaceae
Description: partial 16S ribosomal RNA
Rfam family: Bacterial small subunit ribosomal RNA
Source: RNAcentral